Molecule: long non-coding RNA, 1815 nt
Organism: Myotis brandtii (Brandt's bat)
Lineage: Eukaryota; Metazoa; Chordata; Mammalia; Chiroptera; Vespertilionidae
Exons: 2
Source: RefSeq, a predicted model, not a curated record
UGUCACAUCAAGGCCGCCGCUGGUAAAGUCAUCUACCCCCGGGUAGGAAAAGACCUUCUUAAUGGGAUGACCAGCCACUGAGCCUGGUUACCAGGAGGCCGUGUUUUCAGUUCACCCAGACACAGGGCUCCGGGUUCCUCCUGGUUAGUGAGAUGCUUUAGCCAACAGAGAGAUGUUUCUGAAAAACACUUAAAAACCAGUCUGGUGGGAAGUGGAUCUGUCACCAAAUGAUUUGGUUCUUAAACGUUGGUAACCUGUGAAUUCCCUAAUCAAAAAUUCUCCCCCCGCCUUACAAUCUGACAUUAAAUCUUUAGAAAGAAUGAUUGUUAAUGCUUCAGGCUGAAGGUGGGGAACGCGACCCAAGGAAAAAAUCCAUAUUCUUUAAGUUAAUCAGUGUUUGUGUUGUAGGCAGAACCCAAAUCCAAACCAUAUUUCCCCAAAAGGUUUUCCCCUCUUCAUUCUCAAAUCCAUGUGCAUUAGAUAAGAAACCCAAGCCGUAUGUUUCUUACUCAUUUACACUUAACUCAUCAAAGCAUUUCCUCUGAAGAACUAUUUGAUGUCCAAGGAGACGUUGAGAUGGUUUCUCUUUAACAAACCUUUGUUCUUAGACAUAAAGGAGCUGCUGAAAUUGUAUACACAAAGAAUAAAUGAACUUGAACCUCAGAAAGGUUAAACUCUGUUUAAGUAGGUUCUAUAUUUGGAAGAAACAACUUUAGGAAUGAGCUGUUUUUCUUAAAAAAAAAAAUUUUUUUUAGGAGGGGCCUCCAAUGGACUUGGAUUUUUAUGCCAAAACAAUUUUCUCUCCGCUCUUGGUACGCACCACUGGCUGAUAAAAUCCAUCUCUGUAAGGCGUUCUGAGGUGGUCUUCAACUUUUCAGUUGGAAGAGGCCGCACCUAAUUUUGAUCUCUCUCUGAUAAUUUGUGGCAAAAUCUGCCCAGGGGAGAUGCAUCCUUCUGGAUUCCAGCGUGUGCGUUGAGGAGAACAAAGCUCCUUAGGAAAGAGGCGCCCUGCAACCGUAGGGCCCCCUCCCUGGGGCCCUUCCACCCGGACCAUGCCCAAGCCAGCUCAGAAACAGUGUCAUGGGCCUGUGAGGGCGGGAAGAAGCAGAAGACGCUGCCCCUGCCUCUGAGAGGUUCACUAUUUCACGGGGGAAAAAAGCUUCCCACCUGAGAAGCGCAUCCGCUGUGUGUUCGAUGGCUGUUCCAGAACCUCCAAAAAGAGAAGGAUGGUCAGGGAUGGACAGAGCAGGAAAAGUUCCCAGAGCCAGUGGGCCCUGGGGCCGGAACCGCAGUCUGAGUCCUGAUACAGCUGUACCCAGGCGAAGACACAAGGUGCCCUGGGCUGGCUCAGUCGGGCAUGUCUGCGUGGAAAGCGGUCCGCGCUGGACUGGUGGGCUAGCCUUAGGCUGAGGUACCGAAGACCAUGGAUGGCCCACCCUGUGGUCCUCACAAUACAAUAUUGCUGCUUCUCCGUGGGGUCUCUGCUGCCUCUGAGGCAGAGCAUGGAUGCUUUUGGUUGUCCCAGUGACUGGAGGACUCCACGGGUCUUCAGCAGGCGUCCAGGGUACAUGGGAAUACAAGAUGUCCUGCAGCACACAGGAGGGUUCUGAACGAUGAACCAUGAUUCUGGAGUCCUCCAUUUCUAACUAUCCCGCUGGAUAUUCAUUUAAGUGAACAACCUGUAAGUCUCUGAACCUAGAAUCUAACUCGUUUCCAUAUUACACACAUAGUUUUUCUCCACUUAGUACUCAGUUUCACAAGAAUGUAACCACAUAAAUAAAAAUGUUGUACAAUUUUUGUUUUGUUGGAACUUGA